This 1237-nucleotide ribosomal RNA is filed under the name Hapalorhynchus gracilis. Its description in RNAcentral is "eukaryotic LSU rRNA". It matches the Rfam family "Eukaryotic large subunit ribosomal RNA", at positions 73 to 924 of the family's 3401-position model. Lineage: Eukaryota; Metazoa; Platyhelminthes; Trematoda; Strigeidida; Spirorchiidae. The record is from RNAcentral.
GAUUCCCUCAGUAACUGCGAGUGAACAGGGAAAAGCCCAGCACCGAAGCCUGCGGUCAUUUGACUGCUAGGCAAUGUGGUGUUUAGGUUAGUCCAUGGCUUUACUGCUCCUCCCCAAGUCCAGGAAUGAGUACGGCUUAUUGACCUGGCCCAGAGAGGGUGAAAGGCCCGUUGGGGUGGAGACCAAGUGAGACAGUUUUGCCCAGGACUAACCUUGGAGUCGGGUUGUUUGUGAAUGCAGCCCAAAGCGGGUGGUAAACUCCAUCCAAGGCUAAAUACUAACACGAGUCCGAUAGCAAACAAGUACCGUGAGGGAAAGUUGAAAAGUACUUUGAAGAGAGAGUAAACAGUGCGUGAAACCGCUCAGAGGUAAACGGGUGGAGUUGAACUGCAAGCCCUGAGGAUUCAGCUGAUGAGUAUUUUGUGCCUUUAGCAUGGUGGUUGGCUUCCAGAGUCUACUCAGUCGUGGGUUGCUGCCAUUUUGGUAGCAAUGUGUGAUGCACUUAACAAGUGCUGCGCGCUCUGGAAGACCCGGGCCUGCUUGUCAGUGCACUUUCUCAGGGUGGUCACCACGACCGGCGCCGCUGUCUGUUGGCUGUAGUCAAACCGUUCAGGCCUGAUCUUUGGUUGGGCUUGGGCGGGAUGGCAGGUAACUCAAUGAAAUAUUGAGUGUAAUUAGCUGACUGCAGUUUGAUCUGUGCAGGGCGCCGGAGCUGGCGGCUAUGGUGUGAGUGUGUGUGCUAGUCUUCUGGCUGGGCUGAUUCGGGUUCGCAAGUCACUUUCUUUUGAAGUUGGCAAAUGUUUCAGUCUUGUUCGGUUGGCAGUUGCACAGGAUACACAAACCCGGGCCAAUAGUCUGUGGUGUAGUGGUAGACGAUCCACCUGACCCGUCUUGAAACACGGACCAAGGAGUUUAACAUGUACGCGAGUCAUUGGGCGUUACGAAACCCAGAGGCGCAGUGAAGGUAAAGGUUCGGUUUUCCCGAGCUGAGGUGAGAUCCCGCUGUUUCGCUCAACCAUGUCUAAUGUGACGAGCAGUGGGCGCAUCACCGGCCCGUCCCAUGACGUAGUCAUGAUGCCUUGUGUAAUGUGCAUCGUCGGGGCGGAGCUAGAGCGUACACGUUGAGACCCGAAAGAUGGUGAACUAUGCUUGCGAAGGUUGAAGCCAGAGGAAACUCUGGUGGAGGACCGCAGCGAUUCUGACGUGCAAAUCGAUCGUCUAACGUGAGUAUAGGGGC